RNAcentral lists this ribosomal RNA (253 nucleotides) under uncultured bacterium. RNAcentral describes it as "partial 16S ribosomal RNA". It matches the Rfam family "Bacterial small subunit ribosomal RNA", at positions 524 to 776 of the family's 1533-position model. The record is from RNAcentral.
UACGGAGGGGGCUAGCGUUGUUCGGAAUUACUGGGCGUAAAGCGCACGUAGGCGGAUAGUUAAGUUGGGGGUGAAAUCCCGGGGCUCAACCCCGGAACUGCCUUCGAUACUGGCUGUCUGGAGGUCGAGAGAGGUGAGUGGAAUUCCGAGUGUAGAGGUGAAAUUCGUAGAUAUUCGGAGGAACACCAGUGGCGAAGGCGGCUCACUGGCUCGAUUCUGACGCUGAGGUGCGAAAGCGUGGGGAGCAAACAGG